Long non-coding RNA from Podarcis raffonei (Aeolian wall lizard), 1419 nucleotides. RefSeq lists it as uncharacterized. The record is from RefSeq and is a predicted model, not a curated record. The transcript has 3 exons. Lineage: Eukaryota; Metazoa; Chordata; Lepidosauria; Squamata; Lacertidae.
UGCAGUGGGCGCUUUCCUGACCUCUUGGCUGUGGAGUUUCCGCUGAGUACUGGGAGGAUGGACAAGGUGGCAUGAAGGCCAGCGCUGUGCAAACAUACCAGCAGAGCCCAUACGCAUCGCAAGAUGGUGCAGAACCGACCUCCCCACCACCUGGCUCCCCCAACUUUCCCUCCUGGAAAAGAAGACGUCAGCAAGAACAAAGGCCACUGCCUAGGGCUGACCCUGUCACAAUUCUUCUCGCUGCGGAACCCGGAAGUAGAUCCUGCAUGAGAUCUAGUAGGCUGCUCUGCAGAGCUCCUGUGAGGGGCUGCACUUUCAACACCUGAAUACUUUUAAACGGAAGGUGAUAGAAACUGAUCUAGAGAUGGUACCACUUUGUGAAGGAUUGAUGAAAAGCAACUGCUAGCAACAAAGGCAUAAUAUCACUUAUUUCCUUGCAUUUUAAAAAUAUUAAUAAUGAAAUGAUUAACAGGGGAGAAAACUCAACUCCAGUCUUCAUGUUCACUGUAACCAGAUUACUCAUGCUGACUCACCAACCACCACUUCCUCUCUUACAUUCUCUUCAUACUUCAGAGUAUGACUAGUCAACUUCUCAAGAUCACUGUAUCUCAAAUUUAUUCCAGGAAGGAGUCCAUGCCGUGGGAGGAAAACGCUUUCCAACUCAGUUAGAAUCCUCCCCCCCUCUAAUGCUAAAGGAAGUAAUUUCAUCCCACAAGGAAUAAUAUGUUUGGAGAGGAUUUGCAGGCAGACACACCACACACACAAGAGUCAGGAAUUACAGAGGAUGCUCAACGUUCAAUGGGUGCACUUUUAAAUGUGUGGCACCAUCUUUUAUUCCCCCAUCCAAUUUAUAUGUCGACAGCUCAAACUGAAAAACUAACAAAAUCAAAGCAAUAAAUGGGAGAAGAGACUGAAAUAAAACGGAAGAAGGCUUUUGUAGGCAAGUUGUGUGUAAAAGACUGCCAACCCUGUGCAGAUACUAAGAAUACUCUGGAAUUAGCCCCCUUUCCUCAAACUGUCUAUUUUCAUUUGACAGCCAAGGGUCACUUCCCACCAUCCCCGAUUUUUCUCUAGGAUUGCAAUCACAUCCUUGAAAAUGUGUCAGCAAUAUUCGGUGAAAGCUCAGAUCAGAAUAAGGGCUGCUAAAGUGGUCAGUAGUGGACUGCGCCGUCCCAAGGGAUUGCUCCACCCACAGGGAAAUGUCCUGUUAUGCACUAAGCUUGGAUCCUAAAACAAUAGGCAAGUAGGAUCCUAGAAUGCAACAACUGAUUGGCUUGCAGGAAAAGACCAAUCAGGCUCCAGGAGGGAAGCAGAAUCAGCCAAUCAGACGGGACUCAUUGUGUAAAUAAUGUAUAUAAAAGCCUGAGGUUUGGGGGGGUGCAAUUCAAUCACUGUUUUACGAGGUGCAAUAAAGAGCAU